Leopardus geoffroyi (Geoffroy's cat) is the source of this 324-nucleotide long non-coding RNA. RefSeq lists it as uncharacterized. The transcript has 2 exons. NCBI's taxonomy places the organism in Eukaryota, Metazoa, Chordata, Mammalia, Carnivora, Felidae. The record is from RefSeq and is a predicted model, not a curated record.
UUACAAUGAAAGAUUUGAAGUUUCGACUCAGCAAUUCCACUCCUGGGAAUCUACCCCCAGAGAAGCGAACACACCCAAGGCUGAUGUACAAGGAUGUUAAUGGCCGCAUAAUUUGCUGGUGAGGCUUUGACCCUAUCCUGAUGGCUGCUGGGAGAGGAGACCCACCACCUUCCUGGGCAGCCCAUCCCAUACCUCACAGCCUCCACUUGGACACCGGCUUUUAUCGAGACGUCGGCCCCGGGAAUGUGAGCUGGUUGCCUUUGCUUCUCUUCCAGGCAAAGGUUUAUUUUUAAAUAAAUCGUUCCUUUCAGAACAAGGCUUGGA